AACGCACAUUGCGCCCCUUGGUAUUCCGAGGGGCAUGCCUGUUCGAGCGUCAUUAAAACAACUCAAGCUUGGCUUGGUAUUGGGGUUCGCGGUCCCGCGGCCCCUAAAAUCAGUGGCGGCGCCGUCUGGCUCUAAGCGUAGUAAUGCUCUCGCUAUAGGGUCCCUCGGUGGCUAGCCAGAACCCCCCACCUCUAUGUUUGACCUCGGAUCAGGUAGGGAUACCCGCUGAACUUAA
Molecule: unclassified non-coding RNA, 235 nt
Filed under: uncultured fungus
Lineage: Eukaryota; Fungi
Description: sequence contains ITS2
Rfam family: 5.8S ribosomal RNA (bases 1-52)
Source: RNAcentral